RNAcentral lists this small nucleolar RNA (111 nucleotides) under Erythranthe guttata (spotted monkey flower). Its description in RNAcentral is "Mimulus guttatus (spotted monkey flower) Small nucleolar RNA snoR109". It matches the Rfam family "Small nucleolar RNA snoR109". Lineage: Eukaryota; Viridiplantae; Streptophyta; Magnoliopsida; Lamiales; Phrymaceae. The record is from Rfam by way of RNAcentral.
UGGCUGUAGCUAUAUUGAAUUCAUGAGAAGUUAUCUGGCCGGUUGUUGUUUUUGGGAUCUCGAGAUCUCAAUCUUCCGUCGACACAUCUGCUUACCGAAUUUCUCACAUUC